This 234-nucleotide long non-coding RNA is filed under the name Manihot esculenta (cassava). RNAcentral's name for it is "long non-coding RNA (MESC_LNC009561)". Lineage: Eukaryota; Viridiplantae; Streptophyta; Magnoliopsida; Malpighiales; Euphorbiaceae. The record is from RNAcentral.
ACAAACACACAAUCAAGCUACAUUGUUCAUCAAACAUCAAAAACCUAACAUUUACCCAAACAUGCAUAUAUCCCUAAACAUGCCAUUCUACCCCAUGAAUCUUGCAUAAAACUUGUUUAAAACAUAAAAAGACUUCAAGAUCGACCCUUACCUCUUGAAGAUCGAGAGUAGAGGCGAUCUAACUUGGAGUUGGGAGAAAUUUAGCUCCUUGGGUCUCCAAGCUCAAAACUUGCU